Molecule: ribosomal RNA, 253 nt
Filed under: uncultured bacterium
Lineage: Bacteria
Description: partial 16S ribosomal RNA
Rfam family: Bacterial small subunit ribosomal RNA
Source: RNAcentral
UACAGAGGUCCCGAGCGUUGUUCGGAUUCACUGGGCGUAAAGGGUGCGUAGGUGGUGAGGAAAGUCGGAUGUGAAAUCUCCGGGCUUAACCCGGAAAUGGCAUUGGAAACUACCUUGCUAGAGGUUUUGAGGGGGGACUGGAAUUCUCGGUGUAGCAGUGAAAUGCGUAGAUAUCGAGAGGAACACCGGUGGCGAAGGCGAGUCCCUGGAAAACACCUGACACUGAGGCACGAAAGCGUGGGGAGCAAACAGG